This 383-nucleotide ribosomal RNA is filed under the name uncultured bacterium. RNAcentral's name for it is "bacterial SSU rRNA". It matches the Rfam family "Bacterial small subunit ribosomal RNA", at positions 30 to 414 of the family's 1533-position model. The record is from RNAcentral.
AUUGAACGCUGGCGGCAUGCCUUACACAUGCAAGUCGAACGGUAACGGGCCUUCGGGUGCCGACGAGUGGCGAACGGGUGAGUAAUGCAUCGGAACGUACCUUUCAGUGGGGGAUAACGUAGCGAAAGUUACGCUAAUACCGCAUAUUCUGUGAGCAGGAAAGCAGGGGAUCGCAAGACCUUGCGCUGAUUGAGCGGCCGAUGUCAGAUUAGCUAGUUGGUGAGGUAAAGGCUCACCAAGGCGACGAUCUGUAGCGGGUCUGAGAGGAUGAUCCGCCACACUGGAACUGAGACACGGUCCAGACUCCUACGGGAGGCAGCAGUGGGGAAUUUUGGACAAAUGGGGGCAACCCUGAUCCAGCCAUGCCGCGUGAGUGAAGAAGG